This 71-nucleotide transfer RNA is filed under the name Loxodonta africana (African savanna elephant). It matches the Rfam family "tRNA". Rfam says of the family: Transfer RNA (tRNA) molecules are approximately 80 nucleotides in length. The record is from Rfam by way of RNAcentral. Lineage: Eukaryota; Metazoa; Chordata; Mammalia; Proboscidea; Elephantidae.
GCAUUGGCACUUCAGUGGUAGAAUUCUCACCUUCCAUGCGGGAGACCCGGGUUUGAUUCCCAGCCAAUGCA